UACGGGGGGGGCAAGCGUUGUUCGGAAUUACUGGGCGUAAAGGGCUCGUAGGCGGCCAACUAAGUCGGAUGUGAAAUCCCCAGGCUCAACCUGGGAACUGCAUCCGAUACUGGAUGGCUUGAAUUCGGGAGAGGGAUGCAGAAUUCCAGGUGUAGCGGUGAAAUGCGUAGAUAUCUGGAGGAACACCGGUGGCGAAGGCGACAUCCUGGACCGGUAUUGACGCUGAGGCGCGAAAGCCAGGGGAGCAAACGGG
This 253-nucleotide ribosomal RNA is filed under the name uncultured bacterium. RNAcentral describes it as "partial 16S ribosomal RNA". It matches the Rfam family "Bacterial small subunit ribosomal RNA", at positions 524 to 776 of the family's 1533-position model. The record is from RNAcentral.